CUUAGGUGCUCUCCUUCCCCAUAUAUCUCCAAAAAAGAUAAUGAAAUUAAAAGAAAAAGAAGUGAAAAGAAAAAAAAUCAAUCUAUAUGGAAAAUGGUCUUACCUAUUAAUUUUUCCAUCUUUCCUUGAUUUUUCCUUUGUUUCCCCUUAGGUUUUGCACUGUUUUUCCCAUCCUGAUGAGCCUAAAUCUAGUGGGAGGUUUGGAGCAGCCGGCAAUGGAAGCUUAGAUGAUGGGGCUUGGAGUGGCUGACUAGGGAAGCUUAGAUGAUGGCUUGGUUUUUAUAUUGGGUGCUGAUAUAUA
RNAcentral lists this long non-coding RNA (301 nucleotides) under Elaeis guineensis (African oil palm). RNAcentral describes it as "long non-coding RNA (EGUI_LNC035084)". Lineage: Eukaryota; Viridiplantae; Streptophyta; Magnoliopsida; Arecales; Arecaceae. The record is from RNAcentral.